UCCAGACUCCUACGGGAGGCAGCAGUGGGGGAUAUUGCACAAUGGGGGAAACCCUGAUGCAGCGACGCCGCGUGAGUGAAGAAGUAUUUCGGUAUGUAAAGCUCUAUCAGCAGGGAAGAAAAAAGACGGGACCUGACUAAGAAGCCCCGGCUAACUACGUGCCAGCAGCCGCGGUAAUACGUAGGGGGCAAGCGUUAUCCGGAUUUACUGGGUGUAAAGGGAGCGUAGACGGCAAUACAAGUCGGAAGUGAAAUACCCGGGCUCAACCUGGGAACUGCUUUGGAAACUGUAUGGCUGGAGUGCUGGAGAGGUAAGCGGAAUUCCUAGUGUAGCGGUGAAAUGCGUAGAUAUUAGGAGGAACGCCAGUGGCGAAGGCGGCUUACUGGACAGUAACUGACGUUGAGGCUCGAAAGCGUGGGGAGCAAACAGGAUUAGAUACCCCAGUA
This 446-nucleotide ribosomal RNA is filed under the name uncultured bacterium. Its description in RNAcentral is "bacterial SSU rRNA". It matches the Rfam family "Bacterial small subunit ribosomal RNA", at positions 330 to 792 of the family's 1533-position model. The record is from RNAcentral.